Molecule: non-coding RNA, 139 nt
Filed under: Paenibacillus amylolyticus
Lineage: Bacteria; Bacillati; Bacillota; Bacilli; Caryophanales; Paenibacillaceae
Description: SAM riboswitch (S box leader)
Rfam family: SAM riboswitch aptamer (S box leader)
About the family: The SAM riboswitch is found upstream of a number of genes which code for proteins involved in methionine or cysteine biosynthesis in Gram-positive bacteria. The SAM riboswitch acts at the level of transcription termination control.
Source: RNAcentral
UCUUAUCGAGAGCGGCGGAGGGACAGGCCCGAUGAAGCCCGGCAACCGAUUUGUAAUGACAUGAUACAUGUAUCAUUCGUUAUAGAUGUUAGGUGCUAAUUCCUACAAAAUGGUGCAAGACACGAUUUUGGCAGAUGAG